GGGAGAUACCAUGACCCUCACAGCCAAAUGCAUCUUCGACAUAAUAUUGACGCACAUUGGCGGGUCAACAAGAUUCCUGCUGUCUGCAAGAUGCGGGCUAGUGAA
Molecule: ribosomal RNA, 105 nt
Filed under: Eutreptiella gymnastica
Lineage: Eukaryota; Euglenozoa; Euglenophyceae; Eutreptiales; Eutreptiaceae
Description: partial Eukaryotic large subunit ribosomal RNA
Source: RNAcentral